GGCGUCGAGCGGCGGACGGGUGAGUAAUGCCUAGGAAAUUGCCCUGAUGUGGGGGAUAACCAUUGGAAACGAUGGCUAAUACCGCAUGAUGCCUACGGGCCAAAGAGGGGGACCUUCGGGCCUCUCGCGUCAGGAUAUGCCUAGGUGGGAUUAGCUAGUUGGUGAGGUAAGGGCUCACCAAGGCGACGAUCCCUAGCUGGUCUGAGAGGAUGAUCAGCCACACUGGAACUGAGACACGGUCCAGACUCCUACGGGAGGCAGCAGUGGGGAAUAUUGCACAAUGGGCGCAAGCCUGAUGCAGCCAUGCCGCGUGURUGAAGAAGGCCUUCGGGUUGUAAAGYACUUUCAGUCGUGAGGAAGGUGGUAGUGUUAAUAGCACUAUCAUUUGACGUUAGCGACAGAAGAAGCACCGGCUAACUCCGUGCCAGCAGCCGCGGUAAUACGGAGGGUGCGAGCGUUAAUCGGAAUUACUGGGCGUAAAGCGCAUGCAGGUGGUUUGUUAAGUCAGAUGUGAAAGCCCGGGGCUCAACCUCGGAAUUGCAUUUGAAACUGGCAGACUAGAGUACUGUAGAGGGGGGUAGAAUUUCAGGUGUAGCGGUGAAAUGCGUAGAGAUCUGAAGGAAUACCGGUGG
RNAcentral lists this ribosomal RNA (632 nucleotides) under Vibrio parahaemolyticus. RNAcentral's name for it is "bacterial SSU rRNA". Lineage: Bacteria; Pseudomonadati; Pseudomonadota; Gammaproteobacteria; Vibrionales; Vibrionaceae. The record is from RNAcentral.